Molecule: ribosomal RNA, 506 nt
Filed under: uncultured bacterium
Lineage: Bacteria
Description: partial 16S ribosomal RNA
Rfam family: Bacterial small subunit ribosomal RNA
Source: RNAcentral
AUUGAACGCUGGCGGCAGGCCUAACACAUGCAAGUCGGACGGUAGCACAGAGGAGCUUGCUCCUUGGGUGACGAGUGGCGGACGGGUGAGUAAUGUCUGGGGAUCUGCCCGAUAGAGGGGGAUAACCACUGGAAACGGUGGCUAAUACCGCAUAAUGUCGCAAGACCAAAGAGGGGGACCUUCGGGCCUCUCACUAUCGGAUGAACCCAGAUGGGAUUAGCUAGUAGGCGGGGUAAUGGCCCACCUAGGCGACGAUCCCUAGCUGGUCUGAGAGGAUGACCAGCCACACUGGAACUGAGACACGGUCCAGACUCCUACGGGAGGCAGCAGUGGGGAAUAUUGCACAAUGGGCGCAAGCCUGAUGCAGCCAUGCCGCGUGUAUGAAGAAGGCCUUCGGGUUGUAAAGUACUUUCAGCGGGGAGGAAGGCGGUGCGGUUAAUAACCGCACCGAUUGACGUUACCCGCAGAAGAAGCACCGGCUAACUCCGUGCCAGCAGCCGCUGUAA